Molecule: non-coding RNA, 874 nt
Organism: Chrysemys picta bellii (western painted turtle)
Lineage: Eukaryota; Metazoa; Chordata; Testudines; Emydidae
Source: RefSeq, a predicted model, not a curated record
CCCAGAGGAGCCAAUGCUGGUGGAGAGCACCGACGACACUAAGACGGCCCAGACUGCCGCCGGACCCGGACGGACGGCGGACUGUAGCGAGGCAGUGGGAUACCCCACUGCCCCACUGAGGGCCGAACCUCGGCCAACACUUCUACAGGGAAGUAGUACUUCCUUUUGUUUGUUUAAAACCUGCUGCCUCUUAACUUCAUUGGGUGACUCCUGGUUCUUGUAAAAACCUAAGGUACAAAUUUACAGACUAAUUUUGGGUCUCUCUGUUUUUGGUGUCCAACCUGAGACAUCUGUGACCCCAGACAUUUAUGGCCAGAGGUGCCAGUAUUUGCAUUUCCCAUUGCCUUUAUUAGGAGUCAUGAAUUUUUGGCACUUCUGAAAAUCAAGCUAGGAUGUCUCACAUUGGGGGUCCUGAAACUGAGGCAUCCAAAAUCAGUGGCCACUCUUGAAAAUGUUAAGUGAAUGUUACUGUACUCAUACUGCGGGACUGGCACACAGCUCAGUUUGAGGUGUUAUUUUCACAGCUGUGACAGUCAGCAUUUCCUAUGUUUCUGCCAUCUCUAUCCCAGAUGCUGUCACAUUCUAUUUUACUCUCUUAAUGUCAUUUUUUUCCCCUACGGAUAUCACACUCAGUCUGCAGCUGUGAACCGUGUUUGAAGUUAGAAGUAAGUCUCUAAACAUCUCAAGACUAGGAAUUAUUAAAGGGGGGCACUCCUCAUGAUAUUUUCAGUUUGUGAAAGGGUUUCCUGAUCCUUAGAUGAUCGUCUCCAAAGUUGGCACAAUGAUUCUUCCACAGUCAAACUAAAUUAUAUAUUUUUAAAUUAAAUAUUUAUUAACUUUUGCAGAGGAAAUAUUAAAGAAUACUGUACUCCCA